RNAcentral lists this ribosomal RNA (502 nucleotides) under uncultured bacterium. RNAcentral's name for it is "bacterial SSU rRNA". It matches the Rfam family "Bacterial small subunit ribosomal RNA", at positions 28 to 512 of the family's 1533-position model. The record is from RNAcentral.
GACGAACGCUGGCGGCGUGCCUGACACAUGCAAGUCGGACGGUUCUUGUAUCUUCAAGCUUGCUUGCAGGUGCAAGGAUAGUGGCGGACGGGUGAGUAACGCGUGAACAUCUACCCAUUGGAGGGGGACAACCCGUCGAAAGGCGGGCUAAUACCGCGUAAGCCGCGAGGUGAGAGGCUGCCUAUUGGUGGCCGCCGAUGGAUGGGUUCGCGUCCUAUCAGCUGGUUGGUGGGGUAACGGCCUACCAAGGCGAAGACGGGUAGCCGGUCUGAGAGGAUGGCCGGCCACACUGGAACUGAGACACGGUCCAGACUCCUACGGGAGGCAGCAGUGAGGAAUCUUGCGCAAUGGGGGAAACCCUGACGCAGCAACGCCGCGUGAGUGAGGAAGGCCUUCGGGUCGUAAAGCUCUGUCAGAUGGGAAGAAAUGGGUGGAGGCGUAAUAUCGCCCGAUCCUUGACGGUACCGAAUCAGAGGAAGGCACCGGCUAACUCCGUGCCAGG